Molecule: long non-coding RNA, 383 nt
Filed under: Spirodela polyrhiza (greater duckweed)
Lineage: Eukaryota; Viridiplantae; Streptophyta; Magnoliopsida; Alismatales; Araceae
Description: long non-coding RNA (SPOL_LNC000171)
Source: RNAcentral
AGAGCUUCCCUGCAACACCCCCGCUGGGCGUACCCAGAGAUCAUGGCGCUCCAAGCUACGACAUCUCUACUUGGCAUUUGGUCGAACAGGGCGCGCGCCUUCCCCAGAUGGCCGCAUUUCGCGAACAUGUCCAUGAGAGACGUCGCCAGGUUGGUGUUGCCGCUCCUCAUCUUCUUCCUCUCCACGUACCUGCUGAUCCAUUCCCCGAGCUCGAGCUCCCCCAGUCUCCCGCAGGCGUUGAGGACGACGAUCAGGGUCGCGCCGUCGAACGGUGCUCUGGAGUCAACCAUCCGGCGGAACAAGUCAACGACAGCGCCCCACUCCCCGAGCUUCGCGUACCCCGCGAACAUGGAGUUCCAGGCGACCAGGUCCAGAAGGGAUAU